AAGGCGAUUCUUCGUCACUUGACGGUACCAGAUGAAUAAGCACCGGCUAACUCCGUGCCAGCAGCCGCGGUAAUACGGAGGGUGCAAGCGUUAUCCGGAUUCACUGGGUUUAAAGGGUGCGUAGGCGGGCAGGUAAGUCAGUGGUGAAAUCCUGGAGCUUAACUCCAGAACUGCCAUUGAUACUAUCUGUCUUGAAUAUUGUGGAGGUAAGCGGAAUAUGUCAUGUAGCGGUGAAAUGCUUAGAUAUGACAUAGAACACCUAUUGCGAAGGCAGCUUACUACGCAUAUAUUGACGCUGAGGCACGAAAGCGUGGGGAUCAAACAGGAUUAGAUACCCUGGUAGUCCACGCCCUAAACGAUGGAUACUCGACAUACGCGAUACACUGUGUGUGUCUGAGCGAAAGCAUUAAGUAUCCCACCUGGGAAGUACGACCGCA
This 437-nucleotide ribosomal RNA is filed under the name uncultured bacterium. RNAcentral's name for it is "bacterial SSU rRNA". It matches the Rfam family "Bacterial small subunit ribosomal RNA", at positions 450 to 890 of the family's 1533-position model. The record is from RNAcentral.